RNAcentral lists this long non-coding RNA (1211 nucleotides) under Betta splendens (Siamese fighting fish). RNAcentral's name for it is "lncRNA (ENSBSLG00000015578.1)". The record is from RNAcentral. Lineage: Eukaryota; Metazoa; Chordata; Actinopteri; Anabantiformes; Osphronemidae.
GUGCGGAGGUAUGUGGCGAGUGCCCCCCGGGGACCUACUGUCUCUCAGGGGAGGGCGUGGAGCCCUGCCCAGCGGGCCACUACUGUCUGGGUGGGGGUGUCGAGGCCAUCCUGCCGUGCCCUCCUGGCACAUACAGCCCUCAGUUCGGCCUCAGCCAAGUGGAGCAGUGCCUCAUCUGUCCAGCAGGUGAGAGUGUUGCCUCUUGGAUGUCUUUAUCGCUCUCUUUCUGAGACACUUUAUUGUCCUAAGCUGUAUUUGGUGAAUGUGUUGAAAAGUAUGUAAAUAUAGGCAAAUCGCAUUUCUUCAAAUAAGAGAAGGAAUGUAUUGUUAUACUGAGUGAUUUCUUAACAAGACUCUUAACUGCUUUGCAUUUUACAGGCUUCUACUGUGAGGACUGGGGUCUGUUUGAACCCACUGGGCCGUGUCAGGCGGGCUACUACUGCAUAGCAGGCGUGAACUUUCAGAAUCCAGAUGGGAACUUCAGCACAGGAGUUGGGGGAGCGUGUCCUCUGGGGAGGUACUGUCACGAGGGCACCAGUCUGCCUCUGCCAUGUCCACCAGGGACCUACUCUAAUAGGUUUGCUAUAAAUAUGACAAUUACAUGCAGCACUUUCAGCUGUUUCCCUUUUUUACUACAUAUGUAUGUGUGUGUGGUUGUAGCCUUUACCUGACAGACCCCUCUGGCUGUAGUCCAUGUCCGGCGGGAUACUUCUGUGGCACUGUAGGCCUCACUCGUCCAUCUGGACUGUGUGAGGAAGGGUUUUACUGUCCAGGGGGAGACACAACAUCUACAGGCUCAGCGGGGGGUCCUUGCCCACCAGCUCAUUACUGCCCUGAGGGGAGUGGCAGCCCGUUGCCCUGCCCCGCUGGAACGUACACCAAUCUCACAGGCCAGCCACUGUGCUCCCGCUGUCCCGCUGGAUACUACUGUCCAGAAAAGACUGGCAACUUCAGCAAGUUCCCCUGUCCCCCUGGAUUCUACUGCCUCGACGGUACUAGACACUCCACGCAGUUUCCCUGUCCUCGUGGAUAUUACAACCCAGAGCCCAUGACUCAGAGUCUGGACAGCUGCUUGCCUUGUCCUCCAGGCCACUACUGUGAGAAGGAGAGGCUGACCAAAGUAUCUGGAAAAUGCAAGGCCGGUUAGUAAUAUUGCAUUUUCAUCAAAAAUACAGCUGCGACCAUAAAGCCUAGUUGUCCGGCUUUGCUAG